RNAcentral lists this ribosomal RNA (112 nucleotides) under Carlito syrichta (Philippine tarsier). Lineage: Eukaryota; Metazoa; Chordata; Mammalia; Primates; Tarsiidae. The record is from RNAcentral.
GUCUACAGCCAUACCACACCAAAUGCAUCAGAUCUCUUCUUAUCUCAGAAGCUAAACAAGGUCAACAGAUAAACCAAGUGUUUGCACAUUGAGAUUUAGGGAUCUGUUACCA